Molecule: RNA transcript, 1685 nt
Organism: Mercurialis annua (annual mercury)
Lineage: Eukaryota; Viridiplantae; Streptophyta; Magnoliopsida; Malpighiales; Euphorbiaceae
Gene name: basic leucine zipper 23-like
Exons: 4
Source: RefSeq, a predicted model, not a curated record
CAAGCACCUAUAAAUUGAAAGCGAAGGUCUCCGUGCUGUUUCUUUUUUUCUUACUUUUCUCCUCACUCUCUCAUUUAUCGAAUCUGUGUCCCUUCACAAGAAUCAAUUUAACCAUUUCCACUUCUUGUGCUUACUACCACUGGAUGCACAUUUUCCCAUCUGAGAGUUUGUUCUCAUUUGAGUCCAAAACCUAGAAGCUGCUGACCCAAGUUGUUAUCAGGGUUUAGAUUAAAAUCCCCAAUUCAUCACAAACUCUUAAAUUUUGCAGCUGAGUGUUUUUUUCUUAUAACUCUAAUGGAUGACGGCGAGCUAGAUUUCUCGCAUCAAGAACUAUUUUCGAAUACAAACAUGGGUGAGAUUCCGGCCAAUGGCUCCAUGGAUAGUUUCUUUGACGAUUUGCUCAAGGAUACUCAUGCUUGUACUCAUACGCACACUUGUAAUCCUCCUGGUCCGGAUUAUUCCCACACGCAUACUUGCUUUCAUGUGCAUACCAAGAUUGUGUCAGGAGGUUCGGAUGAUAAGACGGGGACUGAUGACACAGCUGAGUCGACUGAAAAGAAGCCAAAGAAACGCCCGUCAGGGAAUAAAGAGGCUGUUAGAAAGUAUAGGGAGAAAAAGAAGGCGAGAGCUGCGUCUUUGGAGGAUGAAGUUGUGCAUUUGAGAGCGUUGAAUCAGCAAUUGCUCAAGAGACUACAGGGACAAGCUGCAUUGGAAGCUGAGGUUGCCAGGCUCAAAUGUUUACUUGUUGAUAUACGAGGAAGGAUUGAAGGGGAGAUUGGAUCUUUUCCGUAUCAGAAAUCAGCAAAUGAUGUGAACUUGCCCAAUUCAAAUUAUAACGGGGGUUACAUAAUGAAUCCAUGUAAUAUGCAAUGUAAUGAUCAGGUUUAUUGCCUGCAUCCAGGGAUGAAUGGGAAAGGCGGGGAUGGUGUUGCUCUAAAUGAGCAAGGAUUCAGUGGUUGUGAUUUUGAUAAUCUGCAAUGCCUUGCAAAUCAGAACUCGGGACUGAAGGAGCUCCCUGGAUGUGGACUUGGAAAUGUAUUGACAAAUGGAAACAGCAAUGGAAAUUCUUCUGGCACAAGUAAGAGGAGAGGUAAGACUUCAAGAGGGGCUCGUUCUGCAACUGGAGGUUGAAGAGCUGUUUAAAUGGUGCUCCUGAGUCACGACGGUACAUAUUGCCUUCCAAGAAGUACUGCUGUUGAGCUGCUGGCAUCUAUUUCCUCAAGUUGCUUUUUUGGGUUUGAAUUUAGGGAGGGGGGAGUCCGUUCAUUAGUGAACCAGAGAGAUUGUCGUAGGUGCUUGUGAGAUUUAAUGUGGGCCUGGGACCUUGACGACAGCCAUGGUUUGAGGAAGAAACGGCGAUGGGAGGGAUUUUCUGUAUUUCAUUUUAAUGGCAAAUAUUUUUUUCUGCGUUGUGUUCUUUAAAAUACAUUGGGCUGGUUAGUUCAUUGAUUUCCCGGUAAAAGGAUAUUGGUACAGCUCGCAAGUUUUUGUGUAUGGUGUUAUUUUACAGAUAAAGAAGGUAUUUCAAGUAUUUUAUAGUCUCUAUUAUAAUUCUUUAUACAGCCCUGUAAUGGUGCUGUGAAAUUGAACCUUCGUGCAGCUUGUGCAAGAUGUGCUGGUUUUUGACUUUGUACUCCAUCUGACUAUUACAAAUCCUUGUUAAUACACAGCUAUAAAAUUCUUAA